UGAGUUAGUUCACGGAAGGAAAUGGUUGGGAUUCAUUCGGGAAGAUGCAAAUGGGAUACUCGUAACAGGGGAACUGCUGGCAGUGGUUGGAAUCGGAUUCAUGGAUGGAUGUUGCUGGUUUGGAUUUAGUUUAACAGAGCCCUGUUCGUUGGAAGCGGGAGAUCACCCACGGUUGGCUGGUUUUGCUGAGAUUUGGAGCUAUCCAUGGAGGGUAGACGGAUCCGUGGGUGGUUGGAUCGAUGAAG
RNAcentral lists this long non-coding RNA (245 nucleotides) under Phoenix dactylifera (date palm). RNAcentral's name for it is "long non-coding RNA (PDAC_LNC022758)". The record is from RNAcentral. Lineage: Eukaryota; Viridiplantae; Streptophyta; Magnoliopsida; Arecales; Arecaceae.